GUGCUCGAGUGGCGAACGGGUGAGUAACACGUGAGUAACCUGCCCUUGACUUUGGGAUAACUUCAGGAAACUGGGGCUAAUACCGGAUAGGAGCUCCUGCUGCAUGGUGGGGGUUGGAAGUUUCGGCGGUUGGGGAUGGACUCGCGGCUUAUCAGCUUGUUGGUGGGGUAGUGGCUUACCAAGGCUUUGACGGGUAGCCGGCCUGAGAGGGUGACCGGCCACAUUGGGACUGAGAUACGGCCCAG
Molecule: ribosomal RNA, 245 nt
Filed under: uncultured Actinomycetales bacterium
Lineage: Bacteria; Bacillati; Actinomycetota; Actinomycetes; Actinomycetales
Description: partial 16S ribosomal RNA
Rfam family: Bacterial small subunit ribosomal RNA
Source: RNAcentral